RNAcentral lists this transfer RNA (74 nucleotides) under Bifidobacterium sp. Its description in RNAcentral is "tRNA-Pro". It matches the Rfam family "tRNA". From Rfam's summary of the family: Transfer RNA (tRNA) molecules are approximately 80 nucleotides in length. The record is from RNAcentral. Lineage: Bacteria; Bacillati; Actinomycetota; Actinomycetes; Bifidobacteriales; Bifidobacteriaceae.
CGGGCUGUAGCGCAGCUUGGUAGCGCGCUUCGUUCGGGGCGAAGAGGCCGCGGGGUCAAAUCCCGCCAGCCCGA